AGAUCAUGUGCAAUGGCUCACUGUGAAAGUGGGAGCCUGCCCAUUGUCUCUAUGACCUUUCCUCCUCGUGGCUGCAAGGAACUACUCUUGGAAUACCUUACCUGGGUAUUGGCUCCCUAGUGCUCCGCAUAUGCCCCCAACUGGGUGUUACUACCUCUUCAUGAAGUGAAAGAAUUCAAGGUUGAGUAGGUAACACUAGGAGCUGAGAGCCAGUAACCAUGCAAGCUGCCAAGACUAAUAAGAGAGGAAGGAUGGUGGACAUUCAUUGUGGGAAAAUAGCAAACUCGAAGACACUGGGUUACAGGUAUCUUCAUUCCUCUAGUCUGUAUCACUAACCACUCCAACCCGUAUUUCUAGUCCUGGAAUCAAAUGUUGCCAGAGCCAGAACAUUUAUAAAGGAAAUUUUCUAAGCUGCAAGACACAGACCAAACUGCUGAGAGUGACAACGUCUAGGAAGAGAAUUGUUUCUUGGCCUUCACAGCAGCCAAUAGACAGCCAUAUGAAGCGUUGUGGCAAAUGAGACAAGGCAGGGAGUUUCUGAAGACUGCCUUUGUGACAGGAGCAGUAAGCUUUCUGGCUCCAUAUCUUUCUUAAAGAUAUAAUGAUAGUAACAACCAAAGCUAGCUUAGCAACUCUAUGUAAGAGUUAAAAAAAAAAAUGCCCUGUUCAAGCUACUGUUUGGGGAUUCAAUUGCUAACUGCUAAUUGGCAAAACGGAUCAAAAUGAAAACACAAAACAAGGUCGGAAGAAAAUGUUUAUUUAGUAAAAUGAUAUGGAGUCUGUAGGAAUCAUGCAGAGGAUUUUUAAGAAGUUUUUUGAAAAUACAGUCAUUAAGAAAUCAUUUGAACAAAACUCCUGUAAGUAAUAAACGUGUAUAUUACAUAACCACAAAUUUAAAAGCAUGUAAUGGUUGAUUUUGAUUCAGGAGUCAUUGUUUCCCCACAUCCACCUCUCAUAGAGAAAAUUAAAUCACAAGAUUCUGAUGGCUUCUAAGGUUUUCCAUACAUUUCUCAAGUUUUCAGUGACUCAACUGCACAGGCAUAAAGAGAGCACUGCUAUCUUCUGUAAUUAUCUAAACUUAAUUUUCAGAUACACCAUUUGUGUACAAUCAAUGUCUGCUACUAUUUUUUGCACCAAGAGCAUGAUGGGAGAAAAAUGGCUUGGUGGCCAGUUAGUAUUUUAGCUGUUUUCUAGGUAUACACAAAGAUACCAAAUAUUUUAAAGGCUACAAUUGGGUGUAUGUGGUAAAAUAAGUUGACUUUUCUCAGGCUUUAAUGCAUUAAAUGAAACAAGAUCCACUCAAGAACUAUUUGAACAUCUCCUAUUCUUCAGACACAGUUAAUAUUAUAUGAACAUUAUCUCAUGUGAAUCAUUCCUAUCAAAUAGGUAUAAACCUUACUUUGUAGAUCAAAUAGGUAACAUAGCUUGAUUAUAGCAUAGUUACAAAAUAGCAAUAGCAGACCAUCCUAUGAAUCUAUAACUUUUA
This is a non-coding RNA of Peromyscus maniculatus bairdii (prairie deer mouse), 1486 nucleotides long. The record is from RefSeq and is a predicted model, not a curated record. Lineage: Eukaryota; Metazoa; Chordata; Mammalia; Rodentia; Cricetidae.